This 914-nucleotide ribosomal RNA is filed under the name uncultured archaeon. RNAcentral's name for it is "bacterial SSU rRNA". It matches the Rfam family "Archaeal small subunit ribosomal RNA", at positions 1 to 922 of the family's 1478-position model. The record is from RNAcentral.
UUCCGGUUGAUCCUGCCGGACCUGACUGCUAUCGGAUUGAUACUAAGCCAUGCGAGUCUUUGUAGUAAUACAAGGCAUACGGCUCAGUAACGCGUAGUCAACCUACCCUAUGGACAAGAAUAAUCUCGGGAAACUGAGCAUAAUUCUUGAUAGAUCAUAAUGCCUGGAAUGGUUUAUGGUUAAAAUGAUUCGUCGCCAUAGGAUGGGACUGCGGCCUAUCAGCUUGUUGGUGAGGUAAUGGCCCACCAAGGCGAUAACAGGUACGGGCUCUGAGAGGAGAAGCCCGGAGAUGGGUACUGAGAUAAGGACCCAGGCCCUAUGGGGCGCAGCAGGCGAGAAAACUUUGCAAUGUGCGAAAGCACGACAAGGUUAGUCCGAGUGAUUUCUGCUAAAGAGAUCUUUUGCUAGUUAUAAAACCACUAGUGAAUAAGGGGUGGGCAAGUUCUGGUGUCAGCCGCCGCGGUAAAACCAGCACCUCAAGUGGUCAGGAUGAUUAUUGGGCCUAAAGCAUCCGUAGCCGGCUCUGUAAGUUUUCGGUUAAAUCUAUGCGCUCAACGUAUGGGCUGCCGAAAAUACUGCAGAGAUAGGGAGUGGGAGAGGUAGACGGUACUCGGUAGGAAGGGGUAAAAUCCUUUGAUCUAUCGAUGACCACCCGUGGCGAAGGCGGUCUACCAGAACACGUUCGACGGUGAGGGAUGAAAGCUGGGGGAGCAAACCGGAUUAGAUACCCGGGUAGUCCCAGCCGUAAACGAUGCAGACUCGAUGAUGCAUUGGCAUAUAGCCAGUGCAGUGUCGCAGGGAAGCCGUUAAGUCUGCCGCCUGGGAAGUACGUACGCAAGUAUGAAACUUAAAGGAAUUGGCGGGGGAGCACCACAAGGGGUGAAGCCUGCGGUUCAAUUGGAAUCAACGCCGGA